CAGACUGGGAUGCUGGGAAGGAUUCUCCAUUAGCCUGGCGCUCUGAAGUUGUGAAGCACUCUGAGCAUUCUGCAGGCGUGUCUGCAGGGACGACCUCACCAACUCCUACCUUGGAUGCUGCACAAAAGCCCAGCUCCCAUGGCAGGGGUCCUCUGACAGGAGAGACCAAAGACAUGGCAGGCAGGAAAUUCCAGGACCCAUUAGAAAUCAUGUGGCAAAUGCUGAAGGAACGUCUGCAGAGAAGACAAG
This is a long non-coding RNA of Passer domesticus (house sparrow), 249 nucleotides long. RefSeq lists it as uncharacterized. Lineage: Eukaryota; Metazoa; Chordata; Aves; Passeriformes; Passeridae. The record is from RefSeq and is a predicted model, not a curated record. The transcript is spliced from 3 exons.